UGAGCCUAAUGAUUAAACCCUUAUGAGGUUGACCGAAAAGAGUCUCUCAUAAUUACAAACGAAAAUACUAGUAUAGCACAAAAACACAUCUUCUACAAAUGUGUCCUAUUGUGUAAACAAUAAAGAUAAAGAUAUAGAAGGUGUGUUUUUGUGCUAUAAUUGGAAAAACCUUUUAUUGGAUUUUUUAUCAUUUUAUAGUAGUUGGAUAGAUUUGAAGAUUUGGAGCUAAGCUAUAUAUUAUGAGUUUGAGCAAACACAUCAAUAUAUAUAUAUAUAUAUAUAUAUAUAUAAAGGAAGGUUUUAAACAUUCCAUGUGACAGCAUACUUAUGCUUAUUUUCUAAUCUUUGUCCUCUUAAUUUUCUAACUUAUUUCUAAUUUUUUGAUUUAUUUAAAUUUUAUUUUAUUAAUUAAUUGAUUACUUUUAAUGGGUCUUAAUGAUUUAGGUUUCAUUUUCUUUAGGUCUUUUCGUUUAUCUCAUUUCUUAUUUUGCCUCCAUCUUCUUAGACAGAGAAAAAAAACCCUUCAGAAUAUAAUGAUCCUUUCAUUUCGCCUUCUCUGCUCUUUCUCUCUUUAAUUUUUCCAUUCCACCCAAAUUUGACGAAUCUAAUAAUGUUAAGACAGCAGCAUUACCGGAGAAAGAGGCUGCCCCUGCAUCCAAAAUGGCAUCGUUUGCCUUAAGACCAAACUCUAGGGGAGGCUUUGGUGAAUGUGUACCAUGUGUCUGAGAAGCCCAAAUACCAAAGAUAAGAAACCAAAACACAAACAAAAUUGCCCAGUAACGAGCAGGUCCAUACUUGAUUCUGGAGCUUAAUGCAAUUUGCGAGAGCAAUUAUCAGCAGAAGACGAAGAAGCGAUCUUAGCAGAAUUUGAGAGCUUAGAAAUUGAGGCUAUAAAAAUACUAAACGAUGAAAUGCAGUUGGAUGUCAUCAAGAUUGGAAAUUUGGUUCGGGUUAAAGUGCGCAAUCCGUAUGUUUAAAAUACGUUAUAAAAGAUGACCUUCUUUGAAAUCCUAAAGAAACAGGUAUUGUAGUAAUGUAUGAGUGUGUGCGUGUGCUUUAAAUAAAAUAAAAUAGAAGGGAGAACACUGCAAAUCGCUCGCAGUUGGGACGAAGGUGCUACUCCUCUUAAAGAUAUAUUUAAGGAGAAAGAACUCUUUGAAAGGCGAAAGACAUAAUGCAUGGCUUAAUGAUGAGUUUACAUCCAAAGUAGACAAUCCUAUUGAGUUGUGGAGAAAGCAUGAUUCAAAGCUUGCAAAGUAACAUCAUUGGAGGAGGAAUUACGCUCAACUAAAGAUACUGCUUUAGCAAACGAGGAACAACUAUCUGCUGAACUCUCAACAGUAAGUGCUUCUAAAAUUCUGCAUAUUGAGAUGAUGAUGAAAAUAGAAUCUGAUUCUAUCUACGUUCAUCUUAUUGACUUAACCCUUUUAGUCUUUUAUUGCAUUCUUCUUAGAAUCUAAUUUUAUUUAUUUAUUUUGUUUGAUUUUUUUUUUCUAGGGGUCAUAUAUAGUCAUAAUUUGGAUUUCUUUUUAAUGUUUACAAAUUGGAGAAAUCCUGAACUAUAUCAAUAUCAUACAUGAUAUAGUUUCUCCGUUAUUUUUUUUUUUUUUGUUUUUCAAGAACCACCUACCAAGAGGUUUGUUAUGGAUGGUGAAAUGUCAGAUUACAUUCUUGCCAAAGUCUGAUUCUGCAAGUAAGAUUAUUGAAUCAAUUAUUAUUUUUUGGUCUGUUUUUAGAAACUGUCUUAUUGACCCGAAGGAAGCAAUUGUAAAAGUAAUAUGUGCAUCUUCAAAAUGUGGAGAAUAAUAAAUUACAAUAUAAACAAAUAUUUGUGUGGUGGUUGGGUGUUUAUGCCAUUUUCGUUUAUGUGUUUUAUAGUUGAAUAUUGAGCUUUUUGGCUAUUUGUGUUUGUUUACUGUUAAUGUGGCCGUUAAAGCUCUAGACUAUUUGAAUUUCUUAGUGUUUAGUCUUUAAAUUAUUUAACGAUUGUUUAACAGUACUUUUUUUAUUUUAUUAAUGUCUUAAUUGAGAUAUACUAUUGUUUUAAAUACAAGUUUUAUUAUUGUCAAAUUUGAAACAAUAGAACUAAAAACUAUUGAGAAUUAUAAAGCAAAAAUAAAACUGGUUAUAAUAAUAAUAAUAAUAAUAAUAAUAAUAAUAAUAAUAAUAAUAAUAAUAAUAAUAAUAAUAAUAAUU
This is a long non-coding RNA of Cannabis sativa, 2196 nucleotides long. RefSeq lists it as uncharacterized. NCBI's taxonomy places the organism in Eukaryota, Viridiplantae, Streptophyta, Magnoliopsida, Rosales, Cannabaceae. The record is from RefSeq and is a predicted model, not a curated record. The transcript is spliced from 6 exons.